GACGAACGCUGGCGGCGUGCUUAACACAUGCAAGUCGAACGGACCGGCCCUGCUUUUGUGGGGUGCUCGAGUGGCGACCGGGUGAGUAACACGUGAGUUACCUGUCCUUGACUUUGGGAUAACCUCAGGAAACUGGGGCUAAUACCGGAUAGGAGCUCCCGCUGCUUGGUGGGGGCUGGAAAGUUUCGGCGGUUGGGGAUGGACUUGCGGCUUAUCAGCUUGUUGGUGGGGUAGUGGCUGACCAAGGCUUUGCCGGGUAGCCGGCCUGAGAGGGAGACCGACCACAUAGAGAGGGAGAUACAGCCCAGACACCUUCGGGAGGGAGGAGGGAGGAAUGUAGCACGAGGAACGGAAGCCAGAUGCAGGAACGCCGCGUGCGUGAAGACGGCCUUCGUGUGGAAAACCGCAUUCGCCUGUGACGAAGCGUGAGGAACGUAAAUGGAGAAAAAGGCACCGCCAAACUACGG
RNAcentral lists this ribosomal RNA (467 nucleotides) under uncultured bacterium. RNAcentral describes it as "partial 16S ribosomal RNA". It matches the Rfam family "Bacterial small subunit ribosomal RNA", at positions 28 to 506 of the family's 1533-position model. The record is from RNAcentral.